AUGGCCAUAUCUUGCCAAAGCACUGGUUCUCACAAGAUCACUGAAGUUAAGCAACAUCAAGCUUGGUCAGUACUUAUAUGGGGGACCACUUAGGAAUACCAGGUGUU
This is a non-coding RNA of Acanthosepion pharaonis, 107 nucleotides long. Lineage: Eukaryota; Metazoa; Mollusca; Cephalopoda; Sepiida; Sepiidae. The record is from the annotation of a GenBank genome assembly.